RNAcentral lists this ribosomal RNA (417 nucleotides) under uncultured bacterium. RNAcentral's name for it is "bacterial SSU rRNA". It matches the Rfam family "Bacterial small subunit ribosomal RNA", at positions 32 to 433 of the family's 1533-position model. The record is from RNAcentral.
AUUGAAACGCUGGCGGCAGGCCUAACACAUGCAAGUCGAGCGGAAACGCAGUUUGGGUAACCAAAAUGGGCGUCGAGCGGCGGACGGGUGAGUAAAUAUAUGGGAAAUCUGCCUGAUAGAGGGGGAUAGACUGGGGAAAACCUGGAGUAAUACCGCGUAUACCCUGAGGGGGAAAAGGUGGCCCCUCUUUGAAGCUACCGCUAUCAGAUGAGCCCAUAUGGGAUUAGCUAGUUGGUAGGUAAAGGCCUAACCAAGGCGACGAUCUCUAGCUGGUCUGAGAGGACGAUCAGCCACACUGGAACUGAGACACGGUCCAGACUCCUACGGGAGGCAGCAGUGGGGAAUAUUGGACAAUGGCGAAAGCCUGAUCCAGCCAAUGCCGCGUGUGUGAAGAAAGGCCUUAGGGUUGUAAAGCAC